Long non-coding RNA from Oncorhynchus mykiss (rainbow trout), 1067 nucleotides. RefSeq lists it as uncharacterized. The record is from RefSeq and is a predicted model, not a curated record. Lineage: Eukaryota; Metazoa; Chordata; Actinopteri; Salmoniformes; Salmonidae.
UCAAACAAAGUGAAUUAAACAAUGACAUUUAUUUACUUCGUCUUUGUGGCUCCCUGAUAAAACAGUAACAUCCAUUACUGUAGUUAGGCUUUCCAAUGUGUAGCUAGGUGUGUAAAAGCACAUAGCUGUGUUCAUUUAUAUCCGCUAGAUAUAUCCGCUAGAUGGCACUUUAAGAGAUUCAUAAAUGAGGUGUGGAAGCGGUAUUGGGAUUGCGUAUGUGCAGUGUGUGAGAGUGAGAGCAAGCAAUUACACUGACUGGAGAGCUGUCGUUACUUUAGUAUGGGUCAGAUGAGGAUCUACUGUUCCAUGUGGGGUUAGGGUAUCAUGUGGACAGUGUGUUUGGAGUGCCAAGAUGGAAGCUUCAACACAGCACCCCCUAUGAAUCAUCUAGUGUAAGACCAAGGACCUAACCGUGGACUACAGGGUGGAGCAGGUCGAGAGUUCCUUUGUGUCCAAAUCACUAAGAACUUAAAAUGGUCCAGACACAAGACAGUGCCUCUUCCCCCUCAGGAGCCUAAAUGUUUGGCAUGGGCCCUAAAAUCCUCAAAACAUUAUACAGUUGUACCAUUGAGAGCAUCUUGACUGGCUGCAUCAAUGCUUCGUAUGGCAAUAGCACCACCUUUGAUCGCAGCCCAGUACAUCAGUGGAGGCUGCUGAGGGGAGGACGGCUCAUAAUAAUGGCUGGACUGGAGUCAAUGGAAUUGUAUCAAACACAUCAAAGACAUGGUUCCCGUGCGGUUGAUACCCUUCCAAUGAUUCAAUUCCAGACAUUAUUUAGAGCCGUCCUCCCCUCAGCAGCCUCCACUGCAGUACAUCACUUGGGCCGAGCUCCCUGCCAUCCAGGACCUCUAUAUCAGGCGAUGUGAAAGAAAGGCCUGAAAAAUCACUAAGGACUCAAGUAUUUUAUUCUUAUUUUUGCACUGUUUCUAUACACACUCACAGGACCCCACACACUACGCACACUAAUACCCCAACACACAAACAAACACUCACUCCAUCAUUUGCUCACACACACAUAAUAUGCACAUACAUUUAUACUGACUCUACAUACACCCACUCACAUACAA